GAAUUUACAGUGCCCUACUUAGGUUGCACAGAUUCCUCAUGAGGAUGCAGAGUGUGCAGUACCUGCCCUUUGGAAGCAUUCUCAGGGCAUGUCUCUGUGACAUCCAGCCCUAGAGCUCUCACCAACCUUCUCCAGCUCUGGACUGAAGGCAGCAGAGCCAUUCCAUGCUUCAAACUGCACUUACUGGCAUGAACACAGCUCCGAGUGAAGGCUCUUCUGCAUCUCUUGUAAGGUCAUUAGUAGGACAAUCUAGAGGAGAAGUGGAAGAAAACCCAACUACCAUCACUCCCACUCCCACCAAACCCUUGGAAAUGCCGUGGAAAUAGGACCUGCGUGAAGACCUUUAGGGCAUAAGCACAUGAAGUGUUUGGGAGAGGUACCUGGAACAUGGGAAUCCAGAGAAAACUACUUUGUUUACUGCACCAAAGUCUCCCAGAGCUGUGGAGAGUCCGCACGGAUGAAAGUUGGCAGCCAGGCUGCAGGAUAGGUCUGUGGCCGCCUGUCACACAGCAGCACAUCAAGCUGGAGAUGCACAGUCGGUCUCUCCUGACCUUUGUACCUCCUCCUGCUAACCAGGGAUCUGGUUCUGGAAAAGACCAGGCCUGUGGAGUCCUGCAAACUGAAGGGGAACAGCAUGAGCUUUGGCAGGCAGGCUGCUGGGAGAAGAAGGAUUGCACUUGGGCACUUCUUAUUUGUAGGAUGUGCUGAAGGUCUUCCAAGAGAUGCUGUCUCUCAGAAGAGGCCAGGAUGGGAGGCCCUGAAAGGCGUUUUUCUGUGGGUGAGAAAGCGGAAGAAAUAAAGCUUUUUUCAAAA
Long non-coding RNA from Cyanistes caeruleus (blue tit), 813 nucleotides. RefSeq lists it as uncharacterized. The record is from RefSeq and is a predicted model, not a curated record. NCBI's taxonomy places the organism in Eukaryota, Metazoa, Chordata, Aves, Passeriformes, Paridae.